Molecule: ribosomal RNA, 2928 nt
Filed under: Bacillus subtilis subsp. subtilis str. BSP1
Lineage: Bacteria; Bacillati; Bacillota; Bacilli; Caryophanales; Bacillaceae
Description: 23S ribosomal RNA
Source: RNAcentral
UGUAAAUAUGCCGACAGCCAAGGAUACAUACGAGUGGCUUGAGGCUGCGCUGAAAAGAAAAUAUCCAAAUCAGCCUUUUGAGAUGCAGUACAUCGAUAUUCAUGAGCCGCCUGACAAUGAACAUGCGAAAGAGCUUGCGGAAAAAAUCAGAAAUGACGAGUAUUUUUAUCCGCUUGUGCUUGUAGAAGACAAAAUUGUCGGUGAAGGCAAUCCAAAAUUAAAAGACGUUUAUGAGGAAAUGGAGAAGCAUGGGUAUACAGAAAACCGCUGACUUGAUCAGCGGUUCUUCUCUAUCAUUAACCGUUAUGGUGUUUAUACAUCCACAGCAAGCCGGAUUUCAGCAUACGCGGAACACGGCCGAUCAGCGGACGGUCAGCAACAAGCCCGAAGCCGGCUUUUUUUCCGAGUUGAACCGAGGACGCCUUUCAGCUUAAACUGCGGCAUUGAUUCAGGCAGGGCUUCUCCAUUCCAGCGUUUUUGCAAGAUUUGGACAAUCUGCUCUGCUUGAGCCUCUGCCAGCUGGGCGCUCGGUGCAUGAGGAAGGCUGGCGCAAUCGCCGACAACGUACAGAUGUUCAUCACCUGGAAGAUUAUGAUGAGGCGUUAAUACAAUACGCCCUUGUGCGUCCUUCUCCACAUCUAAGUCUCUGACGACUUUGUUUGGCUGGAUGCCGGCUGUCCACACGAUGGCGUCUGCAGAAAUCGGAUCAUCGUGGUUAUACACAACGCCUUCUUCUACUUUUGUGAUAUUUGCCCUGUUAAUAAUGCGGACACCGUGCUCUUCGAACCAUUUUUGCACAUAUUUGCUUAAACGCUCGGGAAAGCUUGAUAAAAUGAGAUUACCGCGGUCGAACAAAAUAAUGUUCAGGUCAUCACGGCUUUCUCUCAAUUCACUUGCAAGCUCAACGCCGCUUAAGCCCGCUCCGACAAUGGCGACGGUGGCAUUAGCGCUCAGAUUAUUCAGCUUUUGGUAGGUUUCGCGGGACUGAUCGAUGGUUUGAAUACUGUAGGUGAAUUCAGGCGCUCCCGGCACGUUGUGAUAUUUAUCCUCACAGCCGAGCCCGAUUACGGCGUCAUCGUAAGAAAAAGGUUCACGAUCUUGGAACAGCACUUGUUUUUGUACAAUAUCAAUUGAUGUGAUAUCACCGUAUUGGACAUCCAGGCGAGGGUGCUCUGGGAAUGACACUCUGAUAUGAUGGUCAGAAAUUGUGCCUGCGGCAAGGGCAUAAUAUUCUGUUUUCAAGCAGUGAUAAGGAUUUCUGUCAAUUAACGUGAUUGAAACAUCAUCAGGCAGCUGGUUUGGCAAUAAGCGAUGAAGAACGCGCAUGUUCCCGUAACCUCCGCCGAUCAAGACCAAUUUUUUCAUUUGAAUUCCCCUUUAAUCCGAAGAGUAUGAUAGAUACAUUGAAGAAAAUACGAACUAUGUAAAAUAACAUCUAGAAUUAUAUCGAAUUUGAUCUAAAAUCACAAUAAUAGUUUCAAAAUAACCUACAAUUUAGCCUGAAAACACAAAUUAGUAAAACGUUAUUUGAGAAAUAAUAUGUUACGAUAAUAAAUUUUGAAUCAUCCGUUGUCUUUGACGAAUAGUGAAAAAUUCGCGAUAAUGGACAUAUGUGAGGUGAAACCGCAUGAAUCCAAUGAUUGAAUUUUGUGUCAGCAAUCUGGCUCACGGCUCUCAGGAAGCCCGGGCGAUUUUGGAGAAGGAUCCCAACCUUGAUGUCCUUGAAUAUGGCUGCUUAAGCUACUGCGGGACAUGCAUGGAAUCGCUUUUCGCUCUGGUAAACGGAGAAGUCGUCAUGGGUGAAACGCCUGCUGAGCUUGUUGAGAAUAUAUAUACCUUUAUUGAAGAAAAUCCAAUGUUUUAAAGAAAAGGGCCUGGACAGGCCCUUUUUUAUUUUGCCGUACAAAAGAACUAAAAAAAUGUGUAGACAUCAAAAAAUAUUAUUGUUAUCGUAUAAAAGAUAUUUUUUUAAAUAAAAUUUAAGAGGUGUACGAGUAUUCAUGAAUGUUCUGUGGGGGCUGCUGGGCGCAGUUGCGAUCAUUGCUAUCGCGUUUUUAUUUUCAGAAAAGAAAAGCAAUAUUAAGAUAAGAACCGUCAUCGUUGGUUUAUGCACACAGGUGGCGUUUGGAUACAUCGUGUUGAAAUGGGAAGCGGGACGCGCUGUUUUUUUAUGGUUUUCAAGCCGUGUACAGCUUCUGAUUGACUAUGCGAAUGAAGGCAUCAGUUUUAUUUUUGGACCGCUUCUAAAGGUCGGAGACAGUCCGGCAUUUGCAUUAAGUGUACUGCCCGUUAUCAUUUUCUUCUCAGCACUGAUUGCAGUUUUAUAUCAUUUGAAAAUCAUGCAGCUCGUUUUCCGUGUCAUUGGCGGCGGAUUGUCGAAGCUCCUUGGAACAAGCAAAACGGAAUCUCUGGCGGCUGCUGCCAAUAUUUUUGUAGGACAAUCAGAAUCUCCGUUAGUGAUCAAACCCCUGAUUGCCGGGCUGACGCGCUCUGAGUUGUUUACGAUUAUGACGAGCGGUCUAUCGGCAGUUGCGGGAUCUACCUUGUUUGGGUACGCGCUUCUCGGUAUUCCGAUUGAGUACUUGCUGGCGGCCAGCUUUAUGGCUGCUCCAGCUGGACUAGUCUUUGGUAAAUUGAUUAUACCCGAAACGGAAAAAACGCAAACCGUAAAAAGCGAUUUCAAAAUGGAUGAAGGCGAAGGCGCAGCCAAUGUCAUUGACGCAGCUGCAAAGGGAGCGUCAACAGGACUGCAAAUUGCGUUAAAUGUUGGGGCGAUGCUGCUUGCGUUUGUUGCGUUAAUCGCUGUAGUAAACGGUAUUCUCGGCGGGGCUUUCGGCUUGUUCGGUUUAAAAGGCGUAACAUUAGAAUCCAUUCUCGGCUAUGUGUUUUCUCCUAUCGCCUUUUUGAUUGGCGUGCCUUGGCAUGAAG